This 253-nucleotide ribosomal RNA is filed under the name uncultured bacterium. RNAcentral describes it as "partial 16S ribosomal RNA". It matches the Rfam family "Bacterial small subunit ribosomal RNA", at positions 524 to 776 of the family's 1533-position model. The record is from RNAcentral.
UACGAAGGGGGCUAGCGUUGCUCGGAAUCACUGGGCGUAAAGGGUGCGUAGGCGGGUCUUUAGGUCAGGGGUGAAAUCCUGGAGCUCAACUCCAGAACUGCCUUCGAUACUGGGAGUCUCGAGUCCGGGAGAGGUGAGUGGAACUGCGAGUGUAGAGGUGAAAUUCGUAGAUAUUCGCAAGAACACCAGUGGCGAAGGCGGCUCACUGGCCCGGUACUGACGCUGAGGUGCGAAAGCGUGGGGAGCGAACAGG